GUAGCGGCGAGCGAACGGGGAGCAGCCCAGAGCCUGAAUCAGUGUGUGUGUUAGUGGAAGCGUCUGGAAAGGCGCGCGAUACAGGGUGACAGCCCCGUACACAAAAAUGCACAUGCUGUGAGCUCGAUGAGUAGGGCGGGACACGUGGUAUCCUGUCUGAAUAUGGGGGGACCAUCCUCCAAGGCUAAAUACUCCUGACUGACCGAUAGUGAACCAGUACCGUGAGGGAAAGGCGAAAAGAACCCCGGCGAGGGGAGUGAAAAAGAACCUGAAACCGUGUACGUACAAGCAGUGGGAGCACGCUUAGGCGUGUGACUGCGUACCUUUUGUAUAAUGGGUCAGCGACUUAUAUUCUGUAGCAAGGUUAACCGAAUAGGGGAGCCGAAGGGAAACCGAGUCUUAACUGGGCGUUAAGUUGCAGGGUAUAGACCCGAAACCCGGUGAUCUAGCCAUGGGCAGGUUGAAGGUUGGGUAACACUAACUGGAGGACCGAACCGACUAAUGUUGAAAAAUUAGCGGAUGACUUGUGGCUGGGGGUGAAAGGCCAAUCAAACCGGGAGAUAGCUGGUUCUCCCCGAAAGCUAUUUAGGUAGCGCCUCGUGAAUUCAUCUCCGGGGGUAGAGCACUGUUUCGGCAAGGGGGUCAUCCCGACUUACCAACCCGAUGCAAACUGCGAAUACCGGAGAAUGUUAUCACGGGAGACACACGGCGGGUGCUAACGUCCGUCGUGAAGAGGGAAACAACCCAGACCGCCAGCUAAGGUCCCAAAGUCAUGGUUAAGUGGGAAACGAUGUGGGAAGGCCCAGACAGCCAGGAUGUUGGCUUAGAAGCAGCCAUCAUUUAAAGAAAGCGUAAUAGCUCACUGGUCGAGUCGGCCUGCGCGGAAGAUGUAACGGGGCUAAACCAUGCACCGAAGCUGCGGCAGCGACGCUGAUGCGUUGUUGGGUAGGGGAGCGUUCUGUAAGCCUGCGAAGGUGUGCUGUGAGGCAUGCUGGAGGUAUCAGAAGUGCGAAUGCUGACAUAAGUAACGAUAAAGCGGGUGAAAAGCCCGCUCGCCGGAAGACCAAGGGUUCCUGUCCAACGUUAAUCGGGGCAGGGUGAGUCGACCCCUAAGGCGAGGCCGAAAGGCGUAGUCGAUGGGAAACAGGUUAAUAUUCCUGUACUUGGUGUUACUGCGAAGGGGGGACGGAGAAGGCUAUGUUGGCCGGGCGACGGUUGUCCCGGUUUAAGCGUGUAGGCUGGUUUUCCAGGCAAAUCCGGAAAAUCAAGGCUGAGGCGUGAUGACGAGGCACUACGGUGCUGAAGCAACAAAUGCCCUGCUUCCAGGAAAAGCCUCUAAGCAUCAGGUAACAUCAAAUCGUACCCCAAACCGACACAGGUGGUCAGGUAGAGAAUACCAAGGCGCUUGAGAGAACUCGGGUGAAGGAACUAGGCAAAAUGGUGCCGUAACUUCGGGAGAA
This 1460-nucleotide ribosomal RNA is filed under the name Escherichia coli. Its description in RNAcentral is "partial 23S ribosomal RNA". It matches the Rfam family "Bacterial large subunit ribosomal RNA", at positions 243 to 1744 of the family's 2925-position model. Lineage: Bacteria; Pseudomonadati; Pseudomonadota; Gammaproteobacteria; Enterobacterales; Enterobacteriaceae. The record is from RNAcentral.